GACGAACGCUGGCGGCGUGCUUAACACAUGCAAGUCGAACGGAAAGGCCCUGCUUUUGUGGGGUGCCCGAGUGGCGAACGGGUGAGUAACACGUGUGUAACCUGCCCUUGACUUUGGGAUAACUUCAGGAAACUGGGGCUAAUACCGGAUAGGAGCUCCUGCUGCAUGGUGGGGGUUGGAAAGUUUCGGCGGUUGGGGAUGGACUCGCGGCUUAUGAGCUUGUUGGUGGGGUAGUGGCUUACCAAGGCUUUGACGGGUAGCCGGCCUGAGAGGGUGACCGGCCACAUUGGGACUGAGAUACGGCCCAGACUCCUACGGGAGGCAGCAGUGGGGAAUAUUGCACAAUGGGCGGAAGCCUGAUGCAGCAACGCCGCGUGCGGGAUGACGGCCUUCGGGUUGUAAACCGCUUUCGCCUGUGACGAAGCGUGAGUGACGGUAAUGGGUAAAGAAGCACCGGCUAACUACGUG
RNAcentral lists this ribosomal RNA (468 nucleotides) under uncultured bacterium. RNAcentral describes it as "partial 16S ribosomal RNA". It matches the Rfam family "Bacterial small subunit ribosomal RNA", at positions 28 to 507 of the family's 1533-position model. The record is from RNAcentral.